This is a long non-coding RNA of Acinonyx jubatus (cheetah), 295 nucleotides long. RefSeq lists it as uncharacterized. NCBI's taxonomy places the organism in Eukaryota, Metazoa, Chordata, Mammalia, Carnivora, Felidae. The record is from RefSeq and is a predicted model, not a curated record. The transcript is spliced from 3 exons.
CUUUUCUUCUGAUAACAGACAUUUGUUUGUGAACCUACUACAAACAGUCUCAGCAGCAAGCACCGCUCUGACUUUGAAGUCUGGAACUUGGAAAAUGUGCAGUCAUUUGAUACUACCACCUUCUUUUCUGAAUCUGCCAAGCAGUUUCUUCCUAAAGAUGAAAAACUAGAUUCAAGAAGCUUAAGAACUUGCACGGAGGAAAGUAGUGAAGUAAAAGUUUCCUCCAUAACGUAGGGGGAGCCCAAGUCUGUACCUUUUCUCUUUCUCUUUCUGCCUUUCAGAAUAAAGACCAGGA